Ichthyophthirius multifiliis is the source of this 73-nucleotide non-coding RNA. The record is from the annotation of a RefSeq genome assembly. Lineage: Eukaryota; Ciliophora; Oligohymenophorea; Hymenostomatida.
GAUUCCUUAGUGUAGUGGUUAUCACGUUAGUCUAACACACUGAAGGUCCCGAGUUCAAACCUCGGAGGAAUCA